GUACAUGCUUAAUAGUCAUGUGGAUAAUAAUUUUAUGUACAAUUAUGCAUAAAAUGUAUUAUGUAAUAUUAGUAUAAAUAUGUACAUGCUUAAUAGUCAUGUGGGUAAUAAUUUUAUGUACAAUCAUGCAUACUAUGUAUUAUGUAAAAUUAAC
Pipistrellus kuhlii (Kuhl's pipistrelle) is the source of this 154-nucleotide long non-coding RNA. RefSeq lists it as uncharacterized. Lineage: Eukaryota; Metazoa; Chordata; Mammalia; Chiroptera; Vespertilionidae. The record is from RefSeq and is a predicted model, not a curated record. The transcript has 3 exons.